Molecule: RNA transcript, 9562 nt
Organism: Lutzomyia longipalpis
Lineage: Eukaryota; Metazoa; Arthropoda; Insecta; Diptera; Psychodidae
Gene: Prosap
Gene name: SH3 and multiple ankyrin repeat domains protein 2
Exons: 13
Source: RefSeq, a predicted model, not a curated record
GUGGAAUCAGUUUGAGGCGAAUGUGCAAUGAGUGAGUUUGUAUCGUACGUCUAGAAGAAUUUUUUUUAUACAUCAAAAGUGCUUUUAUCACCUUUUUUGUUGUUUAAAUUGAAAACUGUUCUCUUUUCCUGUCUUGUCCGUUUUUUCACGUGCGAAAAAAAUUUAAAAAUUGUGCGUGCGUGAAGUCAGGACUGUAAAUUUUUGACAGGUUCAUCCUGGUCCCAAGUGAAACGUCACUCGGUGAGAUUUUUUAUGAAAAAUCUCACGUUAGAAUUGGAAAUUUAGCAUUCUUCUUUUGAAUUAACUUCACCUGGAGACUCGUAAAGUGCCUCAUUUUCAUCCCGGAUACUGCAAAGAAAAAACGGUCCGGUCCGGAUUUGUAGGCUUGGUUUAAAUUUAAAAAAAAGAAAAAAAGAAAAGUGAAAAGGACUUUCACGGAUGAUAUUUCCGUAAAAGACCGUAAAAGAAGUGUUUUUUUUUAGGAGUAGAAGUGUUUCUUAAGGUGAUUAGUGUCUUUUGGUUUAAGAAAAAACCCGUGAAAAUAAAAACUUGUUAAAUCUGUGCGGAGCAAAGGCCCGAAAGUGUGUCGUAUUGGAUCUCCUCGUCUUUUUGGAUAAUUAAUUCGAGUGGCACAGCAUUUCAUCGAUUUUUGGCAUCGUCAAACGGUCAACGAAUGACAUAAUGGAAUACCUUUUUUGUUAGGCCAUCAAACAAUUCAAUGAAGACACCGAAGGAUUAGCAAAGCUGUAGUGUGCAAGAGAACCAUGGAUCCUGGAGGAUUCGUAGUUGACGAUGACCCACCACCACCUGGAUCACCAGAGCCACGCGAUGGAUGGCUCCUGGUUCGCAUCCACGUGCCCGAACUCAAUGUAUCCAAAUGUCUCCAAUUCCCCUCAGAUCGGUUGGUGUGGAAUGUGAAGCAGCAGGUUCUGGCAUCUCUUCCAAAGGAGCUGAAGGAGUCAUUCAACUAUGGCCUAUUCUGCCCACCAUCGAACGGUAAGGCAGGAAAGUUCCUUGAUGAAGAGCGUCGCCUUGGGGAUUAUCCCUUCAACGGACCAGUUGGAUAUUUAGAGCUGAAAUACAAGAGGCGCGUGUACAAGAUGCUGAACUUGGAUGAGAAGCAACUGAAGGCAUUGCACACACGGGCUAACCUGAGGCGAUUUCUCGAAUGUGUUGGCGGUGGGCACGUGGAGAAGAUCUCCAAAAUGUGCGCAAAGGGUUUAGAUCCGAAUUUUCAUUGCCCCGAAACCGGAGAGACGCCCCUCACAAUGGCCACGGGUGCAAAGAAGCCCAAUAAAUUGCUAAUUGCUCUAGUCAAUGGGGGCGCCAUCCUUGAUUACAGGACACGCGAUGGAGCCACUGCACUCCACAAAGCUGUCGAGAGGGAUUCCCUGGAGGCGGUCUCUACCCUCCUCGAGCUGGGCGCUUCGCCAAAUUACAAAGAUAUCCGAGGAAUGACCCCGGUGUACUUGUCUGUAACGAAGAAGACGGACGCCAAGAUUUGCGAGAGUCUCCUGCAUGAUCACGCUUCCCUCGGCACACAGGAUACCCAAGGAUGGCAAGAGGUUCACCAGGCCUGCCGUAAUGGUCUGGUCCAUCACCUCGAACACUUGCUGUUCUACGGUGCCGACAUGGAUGGUCAGAAUGCGUCUGGCAAUACACCACUGCAUGUCUGCGCUGUUAACAACCAAGAGGCUUGUGCUAGAAUGCUUCUCUUUCGCGGUGCCCAACGAGGCGCCCUCAAUUAUGCCAAUCAGACGCCGUAUCAGGUUGCCGUAAUUGCUGGGAAUUUGGAGCUCGCCGAAAUGAUCCAGAACUACAAAGCUGAAGACAUUGUCCCAUUCCGCGGACCGCCCAGGUACAAUCCGAGAAGACGCUCAGGGCUAGCGUGGGCACCAUCGAGUGCCAUGGGGCGCCUUAUGGGGCCACCAUCGCCCUGCCCGAGCGAACAUCCCUUCAGUUCGGCCAGUUCUAGCUUAUCGGAGAGCUCUUCCAGCCAUAGGAGUCACGAGGAUGAUAUCAGCAUUGUUACAGACAAGAGUAUCGGUGAUACGAGUGACAUUAUCAGCGAUUCAUCGGGAGUGGGUACGAGUUCAGACAGUGCAGCCUGUUCCAUUGGCCAUCCGAGUACAACUGUUGUCUGCAUGGAGCGCUACGUAGCCAAACAACAGGGACAUCUGACCAUUCAACCGGGAGAUGUGAUUGAGGUUGUUGGCUCAACGGAUUGUGGCCUCCUCGAAGGCUAUGUACGUGGCACAAAUCGUUCUGGACUCUUUCCCAUUCAUCACGUGCAGGAAGUCAACAUACGCCAGAAGAACAUCACAAAUGUCUCAACUGCAAGUCAAGAAGUACCGCGUCAAGCGCAGUUUGUACAAAACUUCAACACAGCCACAGAGCCGAGAUUGAAGAAAAUAGGACUUUCGGAACCCCGCACGGUUGUUUUGCAUCGUGGUAAGAGGGGAUUCGGAUUUGUGUUGCGCGGUGCCAAAGCCACAUCACCUCUUAUGCAGCUAAAGCCAUCAGAACGUUGUCCGGCACUUCAGUAUUUGGAUGAUGUUGAUCCCGAUGGAAUCGCCGAUAUGGCUGGUCUUCGCCCUGGAGACUUCCUCAUUGCUAUCAACGGAGAGGAUGUAAGAGCAGCUUCUCAUGAGCAUGUAGUUGAUUUAAUUAGGAAUUCAGGAGCUCUUGUUUCGAUGACGGUAAUCUCGCAGCUCCUACCGGAUCAGCAUGGUUCGCAAAAUGGUAUGCACGGUGGUAGUCGCACCCCCAUUCCGACGCGUCAAUGUGCCACCCUGCCGCGCCAUAUGUCGGGCCUUAUUCCCGGGCAUGGGGGCAAAAUGCCAGCUCCAAUGCCACCGCGUCGGGAUCCGAAGACAACCCUUAGCGUAGGUAGGGCACGUGCAAAGUCAAUGGUGGCUGGGCUCGAAGGGGGUGGUGUGGAUGAUGAUGAUUUGGCACCAACGACCAAGUCCAGCUCAGCUGAGAGUAUUCAUCAGAGUCAGAGUGCUGUAUCGACACCGACACAAGGAGGGCCAGGCACUCCCGUACAGCCACGCACAGCUAGUAUUAAGGCACGACCGACAUCGGGUAGGAUCACGGCAGCUGAACUUGAGGAGCUCUUCCAGCGGCAACAGGGUGAUGCACGAACGGAUGCACGAUAUUCCGGCAUGAUGACGAGCUCACGCUUCCAAUCGGGAGGGGAUUCCGGAACUCCUACGCCUCAAGUGUCACCCCAGAGGGCGCCACUGGUGUACAGCAGUGUUGCUGAUAUGAAACGAAAGAAGAGUCGUCAGGGCACAGCGACACGUGCCAAGCCAUGCUCCAUUCCUCUGGUCAAUGGGGAACUUCGUAGGAACUUCCACAGCACCCCGGAUCUUGCAAGUGCCAGCCAAUGGGCGUCCGGGAGUGUCAAGGGACAUCGCAGUCAGGAUGAUGUUCAUGCAUUGCACAACUCAAUGCAGCGUCUCAAUCUUCCGCCACCCACGCAUCCACCACCACCCCCUCCUGUGGGGCAGGUGGUUAAAGUUGAUGUCUCCCGUUCGGAGUACGAGAGCACUGCGUCGUUGCAGCAGAAGUUGAAGCAGCAGCAGCAACAGGCGGCGAAGGAGGUGCAAAAUGAACCCGUUGAGGUUAUGUCCAGCUUCCGACCAGCUACAAAUGCCAAACUCUACGCAUCACCGCAGGAUAUGCGCACUGUGGGCUAUCGUGGGAGAUCUGAGCCAAAUAGGAGGCUCACAACGGGUAUUGUGGGACCCCUGCCGGGGAAUCAGUACGCUCAGCCAUGCCGUUCGUUGUCGAAUGCCUCCCAGCAGCGUCCUCAGGUUGCACCUCAAGUUGCUUCUUCUGUUAUCCCUGCACCACCAAUCCCUGAUCCCGAUUACAGCCUCAGUGAGUCAGACGGUGAGGAGGACAAUUCCGUGCUUCAGGGGAGGGUAAUUAGCAAAACUAAUGGCACAGUGAAGGAGCCACCACCACCCCCGGCAGAAAGUAGUGGCAACAGCAACACAAGUGGAAGCAGCACUGGUAGUAGCUCAAUGCCUCAUUCAUUCUCCGUGGAGGAAAUUCAGAAGAUGCGAACGAAGCUAAAAUCCUCCAAAUCCUAUCCGCAUGAUCUUCUCGGUGGUCAAGGGGAGAAGCAGCAACAGCAGCAGCAAGCGGGGAUGGGUAAUCGCAACGGGAACCUCGAAGAGGGUGAUAAUUCCUCGUCAGGUGUGAGCAGUGACCAGGAGAUCGCACUCAGUGCUCCUGAAGUGGCGACCAAAGCACCUGCGACAAAGGUGACUCCGGGUCCAUUGCCCAAGCCCCUCGUGGAGCCCGAUGCCGAGGUCCGGAGUGAUGACGAUGCAAGCCCAAGUCCACCGGCUAAGGGAUUCCAGCGACACAAUUCCCUCACGCGCAAACAAGCUGCCACAAUUGCCAUGAAUCGCGCCAUACAGACCAAACCCGCCGUUUCACUCACGCAACUCCCACCACCCAUUGAGACGGAGUCCGACGAUGGGGACUCGUGCGUCGUUCCCCCACCCAUGCACCUCAUUCAUCAUCAUCACCACCGACAUCACGCCGUAGCACGUGCCCCCAUUCCCGAGGACAACAUCGUCCUGGCGCCUCCGCCGCAAUUUUGCGAUUCCUUCGAUGGGCCGCAGCAGCGGAGUGUCCGGAUUGUGGGGGCUGUGCCCAAGGCUAAAAUGCAUUCCCAAUAAAAGUCUCACAGUCCCAAUCCCAUUAGCACCCCCACGUACUCCCAAUAAAACCACCCCCAUUCAAAAAUAAUGUACAAUUUGCAAGGAAACCAAGUCGGGAUGAUGAAUUUGAAAUAAUUGUUUUCUCAAAUAACUUUACAUAAAAAGCAUUUAUUUAUUAAUUUCAGCAUAAAUUUCAACAUAAAUUUCUAUUGAUUUGUAGCAUGUAAUUAAAAUUGUAUUUUUUGGAAAGUAUUUUCACCUUCAAUUCGAAGAAUUUGGGAAGGUAAAUUCAGGUUUAAAUAAAUUCCAGAUAAAUUGAAAUGAGUUCUACGUAAAUUCUCCUUUAGGAGCUUUAGAUAAAAGAGUUGGUAUUCCACUGUCAUUUCUAUUGAAUAAAUGAGGGUUUAAAACAGAAUAAAAUAAUUACGAAAGAAAUUUAAAUAAAGAAAAAAUUGAUCAAAAACGCGUUCUAAUCAUUUUUCAAAAAUUAAAGAAACAAGAAAAAUAAUCUUAAAAAGAAGAAAAUAUUUGUAACUGAUUUUUUCCAAACUAUGCGACAUAUACGCAUAGUUUUCAGUUAGUUAGUUGCCCCUUGACCACAAUGGUUAAUUAUUUGGUUUUUUUUCUAUAAUAUAAUAACACGUUAUUUCAUGGAAUUAACUGUCAGUGGCGUAGGUAAAAAAUGUUAAAACUUUUUUUUUUUUUUAAAUCAGGCAGUUAAUGCGUUUUCCAUUAGUGGUUGAAAGGAAUUGUUUUCAGGCAGGGGGAUGCCCAACCCCGAGAAAUCAGUACUUUUAGUGAGGCAGCAGGUUCUUCCGAUCAAAAUAAUGGAUCAGUUUGCACAAUUCCACUUGCAAUCGAAAGUACAUUUAAUUAGCUCUCGGUUGAUCCCUUCUCAUCAUCGAAAUAACAUUAUUAAUAUAAAAAAAGUUAAAGUGUUUCUCGGGAAUCGGUCGAGAUUGAGCGAGAUUCGAGAAUUCCUCAUACAUUUUGUUCAACAAAAAGUGACUUUUCUUCACUGAAAAUGAGGUUAAACCAUCCCCUUGUUUUCAGGCUAAAAUAUUCAUUAAAAAUCAAAAGAUAUUUUUGAACGUUAAAUAAAAUGUCAAAUUUUGAGGAAAAAAAAAGGAGAAGUCAAACUUUUGAAAAGAAACGUCAAAUGCUUGCAAGGGAACAUCAAAUGUUAGAAUAUUUAUCUAAAAUUUGAAAAGAAACGUUAGAAGAAAAAAUCAAAGAGUAAAAAAUGUCAAACAUUAGAAAAGGAACUUCAAACAUUUUAAAAUAUACCUACGUCAAUCGUUUGAAAAAAAAAAACAAUCCGGAACGACACGUGAAAUUUUUGUAAGAGAACGUCAAUCGUUAGAAAAAGGCAAAACAUUUGAAAAUUAACUGUCAAACAUUUGGAAAGAAUUGUCAAUUUUUUUUUUCAAAAAAAUACGUGGAAUAUUUAAAAUGAAACAUUAAAUGUUUGGAGAAAAACAUCAAAUGUUUGAACAAAUGUCAAAAGUUUGAAAAGACAUUUUAAUUGACAGAAAACAAAUUCUAAUUAUUAUAAAAGUUUUAUGAAAUGCUAGUAAAAAAGGCUGUAAAACUUUUGAAAGAAACAUCACAUGUUAAAAAGCAAACGUCCAAUAUUAAAAAAAAUGUCAAUUCUUAGAAAAGAAAAUGUCCAAUGUUUGAAAGAAUAAACGUCACGCCGUAGAAAAGAAAAUAUUGAACGUUAUAAAAGAAACGUCAAAAUUUAGAAAAGAUACGACGAACGUUUGAAAUUAAACGUCAAAAAUUUAGAAAGGAAUGUCAAAUGUUAGAAUAAUCGUUGCAAGUUUGAAAUGAAAUGUCAAAAUAAAUGUCAAACAGAGAUGAAACUUCAAACAUUAAAACUACAUACUUUAUAUCUCAUCGGUAUAAUAAAUCAAAUUCCUCCGCACACUAAAUGACAUUCGUGGAAUACCAACUACACUACAAAUCUCAAUUGCCUCACUAUAUAUAUAUAUAUAUAUAUAGCAAUAUAUGCUCUAAAGAACUCUAUGUAGCUCUAAAGUUUGUUCAGGCAUUCGAUGAUGUUUUGCAAUGUCCUUUUGUACCUUUUGAAUGAGAAUUAAUUUUGUUGUGAAUGAAUAGAGAGGAAGGAGAGCCUGAAGUAUGUAGUUGACGUUCCUCUGCAAAAGGACGUUCUCAUUCAUUUGAAAGGACAUUACUCAGUUUGCAUCAUUGCAAUGAGAAAGUCUUUUGAUGCUUGACAAAAUAUUUCCUUCAUUGAAAAGUUCUUUUGAGGGAAAAAUGUAUGAAAAUUCUAGGAAAAUUAAGAGGUAUUUUCCUCGAUUUUAUUGAACGUUGUCCUUCGUCUCGAUUUGGUUUUUCUUGCAAGAAAACGAAACUCAAUGUCCCCCAAAAGGAAUCCGAAUAGAGGAAAAAAGAUGAAGGAAAAAAAGAAUAUUAAAAAAAAAUGAUUAAAAAUGUGUCUAAAUGUUAGUCAAUGAAAAUGUUCACUUCAUGUAAACUUUCAUGUUCAUUGCAUUCUUUGGUGAAAGAUAAAAAAGGAAAUCAUAGCGCAGGUAGAAUUUGUAGGAAAUAAGUCGCUCAGAGGUUUUAAAAAAAAAAAUAAACAAAUAAAUAAAAAGUUUGCGGGUUAAUUCCGUAUUUUAUAGGCUUGAAGAUGGAACAAUUUUUACCCCAGAAAAUAAAAUAUUAGAUAGAUCGUGCACGAAAAUUCCUCACAUUUUCAGGUCUUUCUUCGGCAAGGACUUUUUUAAAGCAAAAUGACAAAGACUCUAAGAGAAAUUUUUGCUCAAGAUAUCUUACAUUUUAAGGGCCUCAAAACAUCAAAGACACACUAAGAAAAAAUAAGAAAUUUCCCUCCGUUCAGCAAUAGAAUCCACAUAAAAAUGACCAGAAACAACGAAAAAAUAUUUCGUCUCAAUUCAUUUUCAGGAUGAAAAAAACAAUUUUUUUUUAAAUAUUUUUUCUCACUAAAAAUGGCAAUGAAAAUAAAACAGAAAAGACCUAUAAAAGAUUUUUUAAAUGAUUCUUAAAGAGAAAGAAAUCUUUGCUAAAUGAUCUUUCAAUUUGAUAACAUCUUAUUCUUAAGAGAAACAUUAAAACAAUGAAGAAAAAAAAGGAAAGAACAUUCAAAAUUCUUAAGCUAUUUACACCUUUGCAAGAAGAAUUUCAGUUUUUUUUUAUAUUAUAUAUAAAAAUAAAUAGAAAGAUUUGUAGAAAAUAAAAAGAAAUGAGGCAUGAAAGGGCAGAAAAUAUUAACAAGAUUGAUAGGAUAGUUUUUCUUUUAUUAAUAUUUAGUAUAAAAAUGUAUUUGUUUUUUCUUUUAAUUUUCUUUGUAAUUUUGUUGUGAUAUAAAUUUAAUUCCUCUACUAUUGAUUAAUUUUCUUGAAUAAUAAAAUAAAUAGAUUUUCCCCCUGCAAUUUAUCUCUAUAAAUUAGUUAAUUUAUAUUAAAAAAAAAACAAAGAAAUGAAAAUUAAAAUAUUGAUUUUCCUUCUAGCAGACAAACGUGUGUAGCGUUCGCUUUUUGCAUGAAUUUCUUUAAAAAUAAAAUCUGAACCGCAAGAAAUAAAUUGAUAAGCCCCUGGAAUGAUUUAGUACUAAAUUGGAAGAAAAUGUCAAUUUGUUUUGUAUGUAUGUGUGUGUUCAGAGUUGUUCGCUAAUUCUUUUUAUAAUUUCAGUCAGUCUCGAUUGAUCACUCCAUUAGGACGGAGCGCACUCGCUCUCCGUCCGGAGAAAGAAUUAAUAAAGAUGGUCCCCAUCUUGUGGGUUCGUGUGAAAAGUUGGUGGCACGACAGCCUCUCAAAAGGAGACGUAUUCCGGAUCCCAUUGGCCGGAAGAUCAACACGAGUGCUUCGUGGGAAGUUGGAGAGUACGGCGGGCACCAAUGAAGCCCCAAACGUUCGUCGCGGGAAGACUUGGAGAGUUACUCAAGGUCGACGCGGGAUGAUCGCCCCUGCGGGGCAUAGAAGAUCGCCGGAAGGAUUCGUCGAGGGAAGAUUGAAAUCCGGGAGUGGCACUUUGCCCGGCACCGUGUGAAACGACGACUCCGCCACAAUUUGGCCUCCGAGGGAGCACCUUAGCCACAUUUUGGCCACCGAGGGAAACCCCAGAAUGAAGAGAAGAGACUGGAGAACCGUAAAUAUGUUCUAUGUUUUCAGUCUCGAUUGAUCACUCCAUUAGGACGGAGCGCACUCGCUCUCCGUCCGGAGAAAGAAUUAAUAAAGAUGGUCCCCAUCUUGUGGGUUCGUGUGAAAAGUUGGUGGCACGACAGCCUCUCAAAAGGAGACGUAUUCCGGAUCCCAUUGGCCGGAAGAUCAACACGAGUGCUUCGUGGGAAGUUGGAGAGUACGGCGGGCACCAAUGAAGCCCCAAACGUUCGUCGCGGGAAGACUUGGAGAGUUACUCAAGGUCGACGCGGGAUGAUCGCCCCUGCGGGGCAUAGAAGAUCGCCGGAAGGAUUCGUCGAGGGAAGAUUGAAAUCCGGGAGUGGCACUUUGCCCGGCACCGUGUGAAACGACGACUCCGCCACAAUUUGGCCUCCGAGGGAGCACCUUAGCCACAUUUUGGCCACCGAGGGAAACCCCAGAAUGAAGAGAAGAGACUGGAGAACCGUAAAUAUGUUCUAUGUUUGUGAGUUUGUUUCAAUCUUAUAGAUUGAUGGCGCCCAAAGUAAAAUUAGAGUAAAAUCAAAUUUCAAUUAGUUCUUUUGCUGGAAAAUAAAACGUAACUUCUUCUUCUUUUAUAAAAUCAAAUUCUUUUAUAAUCAUAAAAAAAUCUAUUAAUUAAAGUCUAAAAUAUUGCAAGUAAAGAUUUUGUAUUUAAUUUUGUCAACUUCUUUGGUGGUGAAAAAUAAAAUAUAAAUUUUCAUUGAUCCACCAAA